Long non-coding RNA from Xiphias gladius (swordfish), 765 nucleotides. RefSeq lists it as uncharacterized. The record is from RefSeq and is a predicted model, not a curated record. The transcript has 5 exons. Lineage: Eukaryota; Metazoa; Chordata; Actinopteri; Istiophoriformes; Xiphiidae.
CUGUGAGGGAGGUCCCUGAGGAAGGGAGGAAGAUAUGGUGGAAGGUAAAGGGGACAGGCGUGCGCAAGUUCUCUGAAAACAACAGGAAAUUGUCAUCAUCAUCAUGGCCCACAGUUGCAGCAUUGGCAGCAGCGAGUAAGACUGACUCCAUGAUAUUGAGGUCGGGGCUCUGCGGGGGCCAGACCACUAUGUCUGGGAUCGUUUUCAUGCUGCAGAAUGAAUUGGGGAAUGAAUGAAUGAAUGAAUUCGGGACCGAUCAGACGCCUCCCUGAUGGUCUUCAUAAGGGAGAGAAAGGGGCAGCCUGGCGUUUUAUGCAGUAAAGCAAAGGGGAGUUAAUCCUGAUUGGAUUAUGGGGACCACAGACAAGCCCGGAGUGUGUGUUGCAGACGAUCCGUCAAGAUUUCCAGCUCUUGGGUCAGCUUGUACUCCUCACGAAACUGCUCGCCCAGCAAGACUAGGUCCCGCGUGGCGUCGUGUAGCGGGAUGUCGCUCAGACUGCGCUGUGGGUUUACCUGGGUGAACAAAGAAAAAGGAUGUUCUCCGCCUCUGGCAAGUAAAUCAUCUGUCCUUUCAAUCUCAGACAGCUGAUCUCCACCCCCGUCAGCUCGUCCUCGUUCUCUACAGUCUCCACAUUCAGCAGGCCCUCCUGUCAGGAUUACAGCACACUUAUGAAUAUUUCAUCAUAUGUUCUCCUCUAAAUCUGCCUCAAAACUGGGCACCAGUUCAGCUCACUCUUUAUAAUAAAUUUGUAUGUGUUAUGUGCA